This 1090-nucleotide long non-coding RNA is filed under the name Homo sapiens (human). RNAcentral describes it as "long non-coding RNA NONHSAT195554.1". The record is from RNAcentral. Lineage: Eukaryota; Metazoa; Chordata; Mammalia; Primates; Hominidae.
AUAAGCAAUAUGACUUUAUUUAGUGACUUUGGAAACAAAACCUCCCAAAUAAUGCCUGAACCCAAAGUUACCUAAAAAUGGCUAAAAAUAUUUUAAAAUAAUAGAUUUGAACAUCAUUUGUAGUUUCUGCCUCAUAACAUGAAUGCUUUCAGCUGGACAGUAGAUUACAAACCAUCUCUGAUCAUGUUAAGGCAGAUUAGAUGAUCAGUCAGUCCUGGAGCUGGCAGGGUCACCUUAUUGUCUCCACCAGAGAUGGCCAAUAUGUUGGCUGUGAUGGACCUGCCCGCAUGCUACAUGACAUCAUUGAACUUGUGCAGCAAUUUGGGAGACCAUAUAUUUCCCAAGGCAUCAUCACAGGUCCAGAUGAACACACGACCAUCCCAGGAGCAGCUGGCAAUGGUGCUGGUGGGCAGGCUGAUGGAGGGGGCCCAGGCCACAUCUCAAACCCAGUCACUGUGCUUCCAGCUUCUGCUCUCCUUCCACUGGCCAUCCUUGAAGAGGUUGUCACAGCCACCUGAUGGAAACUUCUUGAUGUAAUUGGGUUUCUGCCUGAACAGCUGGUCUAUGAGGCUUCCAGGUACAACAGCAGGGGCCUAGCUGAUGGCAUUGCAGCCAAUGGUGUAAGCGUUGUUGAUCUUUUUCACUUCCCAUUGGCCUUCCCCUGUAUAAGUCAGCAGGAAGAUGGCCCCAUCUGAGCUCCUACAGGCCAGGAUCAGGCCGUAGUCAUGGGGGACCUAGCAUACAGAGUUCACGGAGGAGUCAUAUCCUGAGGGGUCGUGGGUCUUCUCCCAGGUGCCGUUUUCCUCUUUCCAGAUAAUGACUUUCCAAUCAUAGGAGCACAAUGCCAGGAUAUUGCCAUAUGUGGGGUGAGCCCAGGCCACUUGCCACAUAGGACUCUCAUGACUUCUGAGGUUGGCAAUGAGGAUCUGCCCUCUGUUGUGCACUUUGAAGAUUUUGACGGAUUUUUCUGAUGAGCAGGUUGCCAGGCGGGUGCCAUAGUAGUCCAUCUGGGCAUCAUAAAUCAUAUCCUUAUGGGAGGUAUCCACAGUGUUAAUUACUGACACCAUGAUACCAGCGUGACUGCUCUAGG